GGGGCCGUGAGAGUGGCGCACGGGUGCGCAACGCGUAUGCAACACCCCGACUGGCGGAUAGCCGGUGGAAACGCCGGAUAAUACGCCAUGGUUCCCUAGGAGGGCAUCCUCCUGGGGAUAAAGUUUCGGCGGCCGGGGACGGGCAUGCGUGCCAUUAGAUGGUCGGCGGGGUGACGGCCCACCGAGUCGACGAUGGCUAGGGGAUCUGAGAGGACGGUCCCCCACACUGGUACUGAGACACGGACCAGACUCCUGCGGGAGGCAGCAGUAAGGGAUAUUGGGCAAUGGGGGCAACCCUGACCCAGCCAUGCCGCGUGAGGGAAUGAGGCCCUACGGGUCGUGAACCUCUUUUGUCCAGGGACAAGGACUCCCACGGGAUGGGAGUUUGAGGGUACUGGAAGAAUAAGCAUCGGCUAACUCAGUGCC
Molecule: ribosomal RNA, 426 nt
Filed under: uncultured bacterium
Lineage: Bacteria
Description: bacterial SSU rRNA
Rfam family: Bacterial small subunit ribosomal RNA
Source: RNAcentral